CCUGAGUGGACACAUCCCCCGGGGGCCAGGACACUGCAGCCAUUACUGCUGGAGCAAGAGGCAGGUCCAGCUGCCCCAGAGGAGCUGUGGCAAGGAUUAAAGGAGCGGAUGCUUGUGAUGGAGCGGAUGCUUGUGAUGGACCAGCAUGGAACCUAGUCCCUGGACGUGGGAGCGGCUUAGGAGAAACACCAAACAUGGCUGGUGGAAACACCAGCAUCAGCGCUAGCAAGGAUUCAGCAGAUGAGCAGACGGAGGCUCAGAGGUCCGGAGACUGAAGGAAUGAAUGUUCUGAAAUGGUUUGAAUGGAAGAAAAGUGGCGGGAGGGCUGUCAUCGCCCAGCACAUGAUGAAGUCACAGAAAACCCCAGAGAACGGCAGCAGGUGCCCCAGGGUCACGCUGUGAGUGCUGAUUUAGUUUCAGGAAAACAAUCUCAUUUGUCACAUUAAAUUAAUGUUGUUAAUUUGAAGUUUA
Long non-coding RNA from Equus quagga, 471 nucleotides. RefSeq lists it as uncharacterized. The transcript is spliced from 3 exons. The record is from RefSeq and is a predicted model, not a curated record. NCBI's taxonomy places the organism in Eukaryota, Metazoa, Chordata, Mammalia, Perissodactyla, Equidae.